GAGUAAAAGUCGUAACAAGGUCUCCGUUGGUGAACCAGCGGAGGGAUCAUUACAGGACUCGCAAGACUCCUACAACCCUGUGAACUUAACUAUAAGCACGUUGCUUCGGCGGGUGUCUCGGAGGGGGUUCUCCCUCCCCGAGACGCUAAACCCGCCGGCAGCCUACUAUACUCUGUCUCUUUGCGUUGGCAUCUCGAGUACAAUCAAACAAGUUAAAACUUUCAACAACGGAUCUCUUGGUUCUG
RNAcentral lists this unclassified non-coding RNA (245 nucleotides) under plant metagenome. RNAcentral's name for it is "partial contains small subunit ribosomal RNA, internal transcribed spacer 1, and 5.8S ribosomal RNA". The stretch from base 1 to 52 matches the Rfam family "Eukaryotic small subunit ribosomal RNA", at positions 1780 to 1831 of the family's 1831-position model. The record is from RNAcentral.